CAUUUUCAGGUCAUUUGUUUCGUUGUCGCCCACGUUGUAAACUUUUUAUUGAAACAACUGACCCGUGUAACAGUUUUUAUGUAAUGAAAACAAUAAUUGGUGUCACUUAUGUUCAUAACUAGAACUGACAUUUCUGUCGAUUAGUUUGACAGACACUAUACAAUUCCUAGGGUUAGCCAUGAUGGUGACCUCACAGAACCACGACUAAUCCUACAUACCAUCAUGGCCAGACACAGGUUAGAAAUGAUGGUGACCUCACAGAACAACAACUAAUCCUACAUACCAUCAUGGCCAUGCACAGGUGAGAAAUGAACACCCC
RNAcentral lists this long non-coding RNA (319 nucleotides) under Mytilus galloprovincialis (Mediterranean mussel). The record is from RNAcentral. Lineage: Eukaryota; Metazoa; Mollusca; Bivalvia; Mytilida; Mytilidae.